CGCGUAGGCGGGGAGGUAAGUCGGGUGUGAAAUCCCUCGGCCCAACCGAGGAACUGCGCCCGAGACUGCUUCUCUUGAGUCCCGGAGAGGAAGGUGGAAUUCCCGGUGUAGCGGUGAAAUGUGUAGAGAUCGGGAGGAACACCGGCGGCGAAGGCGGCCUUCUGGACGGUGACUGACGCUGAGGCGCGAAAGCGUGGGGAGCAAACG
This 207-nucleotide ribosomal RNA is filed under the name uncultured bacterium. Its description in RNAcentral is "partial 16S ribosomal RNA". It matches the Rfam family "Bacterial small subunit ribosomal RNA", at positions 568 to 774 of the family's 1533-position model. The record is from RNAcentral.